GGCUGUGAAGGCGAUCUGGCUUCGACAUCUGUCACCGCAUUGAUUGCCAGGGUUGAUUCGGCUGAUCUGGCUAGCUAGGCGGGUGUCCCCUUCCUCCCUCAAUGCUCCAUGCCUCCCUCCCGAAGCUGCGCGCUGGGUCGAAGAGGACGACCACCCCCGAGAGAAGAGGACCUCUCCUCAGUCAAGGGUAUACGAGGAGCUGCGCUCCUCUGCUAGAAUCUCCAAACAAGCUCUCGAGAUCAGCAAUGUUAGGAAAUUACUGCAAGGAGAGCCAGUGGGAGCUAAGAGGACAGGAAAUGCACCAGGCAGAGCUGCUGU
Molecule: small nuclear RNA, 318 nt
Filed under: Chinchilla lanigera (long-tailed chinchilla)
Lineage: Eukaryota; Metazoa; Chordata; Mammalia; Rodentia; Chinchillidae
Description: 7SK RNA (ENSCLAG00000021593.1)
Rfam family: 7SK RNA
About the family: 7SK was discovered as an abundant small nuclear RNA in the mid-70s but a possible function has only recently been suggested. Two independent studies have found that 7SK RNA binds the CDK9/cyclin T complex (known as elongation factor P-TEFb). P-TEFb activates transcription by phosphorylating the C-terminal domain of RNA polymerase II.
Source: Rfam by way of RNAcentral